Molecule: transfer RNA, 72 nt
Filed under: Camelus bactrianus (Bactrian camel)
Lineage: Eukaryota; Metazoa; Chordata; Mammalia; Artiodactyla; Camelidae
Also listed under: 1 other name
Rfam family: tRNA
About the family: Transfer RNA (tRNA) molecules are approximately 80 nucleotides in length. Their secondary structure includes four short double-helical elements and three loops (D, anti-codon, and T loops).
Source: Rfam by way of RNAcentral
GUGGGUAUAGCUCAGUGGUAGAGUGCAUGCUUAGCAUACACAAGGUCCUGGGUUCAAUAUCCAGUACCUCCA